UUUUUUUUUUUUGUUUUUUUUUUUUCAAAAUUAGUUAAGGUUUUAUCUAAUUUAGAAAACAUCUAAUCAAAUUUUUUUAAAAAUGAGAAUAAAUAAAAAACAAUUUAUACAAACAUUCCAAGUAAAUAUAUGAACAAGAGUUUCUAAUGGACACUCACAACACACUCAGGGAUGACCUUCAACUUCAAAUUAAUUGAAGUCAUGAGUCCAUGUGGUGCUCUAGUUUAAGAAUGGAUCUUUUGACAUUUUUUUAAUUACUAGAGGUGCUUUGCACAGCAUAAAAUAGUUUAUAAUGAGAAAAAAAAAAAAAAAGUAAUGGGG
Non-coding RNA from Biomphalaria pfeifferi, 321 nucleotides. NCBI's taxonomy places the organism in Eukaryota, Metazoa, Mollusca, Gastropoda, Planorbidae. The record is from the annotation of a GenBank genome assembly.